Molecule: ribosomal RNA, 492 nt
Filed under: uncultured bacterium
Lineage: Bacteria
Description: partial 16S ribosomal RNA
Rfam family: Bacterial small subunit ribosomal RNA
Source: RNAcentral
GAUGAACGCUAGCUACAGGCUUAACACAUGCAAGUCGAGGGGAAACGACAUCGAAAGCUUGCUUUUGAUGGGCGUCGACCGGCGCACGGGUGAGUAACGCGUAUCCAACCUGCCCAUCACUUGGGAAUAACCUUGCGAAAGUAAGACUAAUACCCAAUGAUAUCCCACGAAGGCAUCGGAAUGGGAUUAAAGAUUUAUCGGUGAUGGAUGGGGAUGCGUCUGAUUAGCUUGUUGGCGGGGUAACGGCCCACCAAGGCAACGAUCAGUAGGGGUUCUGAGAGGAAGGUCCCCCACAUUGGAACUGAGACACGGUCCAAACUCCUACGGGAGGAAGCAGUGAGGAAUAUUGGUCAAUGGGCGAGAGCCUGAACCAGCCAAGUAGCGUGCAGGAAGACGGCCCUAUGGGUUGUAAACUGCUUUUAUAAGGGAAUAAAGUGGGUCACGUGUGACUUUUUGCAUGUACCUUAUGAAUAAGGACCGGCUAAUUCCGUG